UGAUCAGUUGUGGCUUUACACCAUGGUC
This 28-nucleotide non-coding RNA is filed under the name Rattus norvegicus (Norway rat). Lineage: Eukaryota; Metazoa; Chordata; Mammalia; Rodentia; Muridae. The record is from RNAcentral.